Molecule: ribosomal RNA, 497 nt
Filed under: uncultured bacterium
Lineage: Bacteria
Description: partial 16S ribosomal RNA
Rfam family: Bacterial small subunit ribosomal RNA
Source: RNAcentral
GAUGAACGCUGGCGGCGUGCCUAAUACAUGCAAGUCGAGCGAACAGACGAGGAGCUUGCUCCUCUGACGUUAGCGGCGGACGGGUGAGUAACACGUGGAUAACCUACCUAUAAGACUGGGAUAACUUCGGGAAACCGGAGCUAAUACCGGAUAAUAUAUUGAACCGCAUGGUUCAAUAGUGAAAGACGGUUUUGCUGUCACUUAUAGAUGGAUCCGCGCCGCAUUAGCUAGUUGGUAAGGUAACGGCUUACAAAGGCGACGAUGCGUAGCCGACCUGAGGGGGAGGUGGCCGACCCGGGAAGAGAACAGGCGUCCAGACCCCGGAGGGGGGCACAAGACGGAACUCGUCAGCAAGGGGGGAGAGCGGGACGGAAAAGGGGGGGGGGAGUAAUAAAGGUGCUGGGAUCGAAAAACUGUUUUAUGGGGAAAAAAAAAAUGUGUAAGAAGAUAGACCGGUAUUGACGGUAACUAAUAAAAAAGCCAGGGCUAACUACGUG